Molecule: ribosomal RNA, 650 nt
Filed under: uncultured bacterium
Lineage: Bacteria
Description: bacterial SSU rRNA
Rfam family: Bacterial small subunit ribosomal RNA
Source: RNAcentral
AGUACGGCCGCAAGGUUGAAACUCAAAGAAAUUGACGGGGGCCCGCACAAGCGGUGGAGUAUGUGGUUUAAUUCGAUGCAACGCGAAGAACCUUACCUGGUCUUGACAUGUCAGGAAUCCUGCAGAGAUGCGGGAGUGCCGAAAGGAGCCUGAACACAGGUGCUGCAUGGCUGUCGUCAGCUCGUGUCGUGAGAUGUUGGGUUAAGUCCCGCAACGAGCGCAACCCUUGUCCUUAGUUGCCAUCAUUUAGUUGGGCACUCUAAGGAGACUGCCGGUGACAAACCGGAGGAAGGUGGGGAUGACGUCAAGUCCUCAUGGCCCUUAUGACCAGGGCUACGCACGUACUACAAUGGCCAAUACAGAGGGUCGCGAAGUCGCGAGAUGGAGCUAAUCCCAGAAAGUUGGUCGUAGUCCGGAUCGGAGUCUGCAACUCGACUCCGUGAAGUCGGAAUCGCUAGUAAUCGCGGAUCAGCAUUUGUCGCGGUGAAUACGUUCCCGGGCCUUGUACACACCGCCCGUCACACCAUGGAAGUUGGCUGCACCAGAAGCCGGUAGUCUAACCGCAAGGAGGACGCCGACCACGGUGUGGUCAAUGACUGGGGUGAAGUCGUAACAAGGUAGCCGUAGGGGAACCUGCGGCUGGAUCACCU